Molecule: ribosomal RNA, 253 nt
Filed under: uncultured bacterium
Lineage: Bacteria
Description: partial 16S ribosomal RNA
Rfam family: Bacterial small subunit ribosomal RNA
Source: RNAcentral
UACGGGGGGGGCAAGCGUUGUUCGGAAUUACUGGGCGUAAAGUGUGCGCAGGCGGCCGCGCAAGUCGAGUGUGAAAGCCCCGAGCUUAACUUGGGAAUUGCGCUCGAAACUACGUGGCUGGAGUGUGGCAGAGGAAGGUGGAAUUCCAGGUGUAGCGGUGAAAUGCGUAGAGAUCUGGAGGAACACCGAUGGCGAAGGCAGCCUUCUGGGCCAACACUGACGCUCAUGCACGAAAGCGUGGGGAGCAAACAGG